UUGGCGAUCCGGAGACGCCUGCACGCCCUUCUUUACGGAGAUGAUGAAUUGCAAGAUAGCGUCUACAGAACAGAACCGACGGGUCUUCCAAAGAUAGUCGUUCAGCCGAUCAGCUACAAUGAUGCAGAGAUGCUGCUCAGGGAGAUGGGCGGACAGGUGGCGCCGGCGAGCUGGCGCGGCGCCCUCGCCAACGUCUCGUACGCCGUCGGCCCCGGUUUCCGCGGCGACAGCGCCGUCGCGGGCGAGCGCGUUCGCGUCGAGACGAACAACGUCGCGGAACGCGUGAUGAUC
Long non-coding RNA from Priapulus caudatus, 291 nucleotides. RefSeq lists it as uncharacterized. The transcript is spliced from 3 exons. NCBI's taxonomy places the organism in Eukaryota, Metazoa, Priapulida, Priapulimorpha, Priapulimorphida, Priapulidae. The record is from RefSeq and is a predicted model, not a curated record.